Molecule: ribosomal RNA, 264 nt
Filed under: uncultured bacterium
Lineage: Bacteria
Description: partial 16S ribosomal RNA
Rfam family: Bacterial small subunit ribosomal RNA
Source: RNAcentral
UACGGAGGGUGCAAGCGUUGCUCGGAAUUAUUGGGCGUAAAGCGCACGCAGGCGGUAAGGUAAGUCAGUUGUGAAACUCCUGGGCUCAACCUGGGAACUGCAGUUGAUACUGCCUUGCUAGAGUACGGAAGAGGGAAGUGGAAUUCCCAGUGUAGAGGUGAAAUUCGUAGAUAUUGGGAGGAACACCGGUGGCGAAGGCGGCUUCCUGGUCCGAUACUGACGCUCAUGUGCGAAAGCGUGGGGAGCAAACAGGAUUAGAAACCC